Molecule: ribosomal RNA, 253 nt
Filed under: uncultured bacterium
Lineage: Bacteria
Description: partial 16S ribosomal RNA
Rfam family: Bacterial small subunit ribosomal RNA
Source: RNAcentral
UACGGAGGGAGCUAGCGUUGUUCGGAAUUACUGGGCGUAAAGGGCGCGUAGGCGGCCUGCUAAGUCGAACGUGAAAUCCCCGGGCUCAACCCGGGAACUGCGUCCGAUACUGACAGGCUUGAAUCCGGGAGAGGGAUGCGGAAUUCCAGGUGUAGCGGUGAAAUGCGUAGAUAUCUGGAGGAACACCGGUGGCGAAGGCGGCAUCCUGGACCGGCAUUGACGCUGAGGCGCGAAAGCCAGGGGAGCAAACGGG